UUUUGGGCAAUGGGGGAAACCCUGACCCAGCAACGCCGCGUGAAGGAUGAAGGCUUUCGGGUUGUAAACUUCUUUUAGCAGGAAAGAAAAAAUGACGGUACCUGCAGAAAAAGCACCGGCUAACUCUGUGCCAGCAGCCGCGGUAAUACAGAGGGUGCAAGCGUUAUUCGGAUUUACUGGGCAUAAAGAGCGCGUAGGCGGUUUAAUAAGUCUGAUGUGAAAUCCCUGGACUCAAUCCAGGAACUGCAUCGGAUACUGUUAGACUCGAGUACAGGAGAGGAGAGCGGAAUUCUUGGUGGAGAGGUGAAAUUCGUAGAUAUCAAGAGGAACAACAGUGGCGAAGGCGGCUCUCUGGACUGAACUGACGCUGAGGCGCGAAA
RNAcentral lists this ribosomal RNA (380 nucleotides) under uncultured bacterium. RNAcentral describes it as "bacterial SSU rRNA". It matches the Rfam family "Bacterial small subunit ribosomal RNA", at positions 362 to 758 of the family's 1533-position model. The record is from RNAcentral.